RNAcentral lists this long non-coding RNA (1258 nucleotides) under Homo sapiens (human). Its description in RNAcentral is "HSALNT0168667". Lineage: Eukaryota; Metazoa; Chordata; Mammalia; Primates; Hominidae. The record is from RNAcentral.
CAGCAUUAUGUGUCAAUAGCCAAUACAAAGGUGAAAGCUUGUAUGUGUGUGGGGUCAUGUUGGAUAGAAGGUUCCAGUUUCUUUCUUAGGAUUCCGGCCAGACCCGAUAGCUCUCAACCAGCUGCUUCUUGAUCUCUCUGGCUACCCUGGUGGUCUUCAAUGCUCUGCUUCUCCAAGGAGUUUAUGGAACAUGGGCCUAGUCAAGCCUGUUCCAAGUCAUCAAGUAUGAGAUGGAAUCUGCUUAUGUUACCCAGGCUGGUCUCUAACUCCUAGACUAAAGUGAUCCUCCUGUCUUGGCCUCCCAAAGUACUGGGAUUACAGACAUGUCCCCGGCCACAUUUAUCUUAAUUCAUAAGCUCAGGGGGCAGAAAACAAGAAUCUAUGAAUUCAUACUCCUGAGAUAAAUAAAUAAAGGGAGGAAGCAUUUCAAUACAGUAGCUUUCAAAUGAUGGAUGAAGAAAGAACGAUGGGGUUGAACAUUGGCAUCCACUACAGUAAUACUUGUUUCAGGCCAGAUUCAUCCAUGGAGGCUAACAUCAUUGGUUGAAAUUGUGAUAAGAUAUGAGAUAUUUACCUAACUUCAAUGUCACUCUCCAAAAGAUACUUAUGAAUGACAGAAGGGAAAAGGUAACACCGUGGAAAAACCUGACAGACACCACAUGAACCAAGAUCAGAGCUAACAUCCCCAGUUAACAGGGACAAAUCAACACCGCGUAGUGUGAUGCUCUGAGAAGGCAUAACAUCCCUGCUGGUGCUAUGGUGUUCCUGCUAAAAAUCCCUAACUUGAAUUUGAUCAUGAGAAACAUUAUACACACUCAACUGAGGGACAUUUUACAAAAUAACUGCUUUUACUUUUCAAAAUAAUCAAGACCAUGAAAGACAAAGGAAAAACAGAAGAUCAUUCCAGCUUCAGGCAGACUAAAGAGAUGUGACAAAUAAAUGAAACAUGCCAUCCUGGAAUGGAUUCUGGACCAGGAAAAGAACAUUAGUGGGACAGUUGGUGAAAUCUGAGUAAGAUUAGAUGAUGCUAUUUUAUCAAGGUCAAUUUCCUGAUUUCAAUAAUUGCACUGUGGUUAUGUAAGAGAGUGUCCUUGUUUUUAGGAAAUAUACUCUAUAAAAUAUUUAGAGAUUAAAAAAACAUGAUGGCUCUGCCUUACUCUCAAAUUUUUCAGGAAACAAAUUGAACUUAUACACACCUAUGUUUGUAUAUAUGAGAGAGAAAAUGAUGUGCACAGGGGACAAAAUGUUAAGGUUUGGG